CCUACGGGCGGCAGCAGUAGGGAAUCUUCCACAAUGGGCGAAAGCCUGAUGGAGCAACGCCGCGUGGGUGAAGAAGGUCUUCGGAUCGUAAAACCCUGUUGUUAGAGAAGAAAGUGCUGGAGAGGAACUGUUCACGAUUCGACGGUAUCUAACCAGAAAGCCACGGCUAACUACGUGCCAGCAGCCGCGGUAAUAAGUAGGUGGCAAGCUUUAUCCGGAUUUAUUGGGAGUAAAGGGAACGCAGGCGGUCUUGUAAGUCUGAUGUGAAAGCCUUCGGCUUAACCGCAGUAGUGCUUUGGAAACUAGGAGACUUGAGUGCAGAAGAGGAGAGUGGAACUCCAUGUGUAGCGGUGAAAUGCGUAGAUAUAUGGAAGAACACCAGUGGCGAAAGCGGCUCUCUGGUCUGUAACUGACGCUGAGGUUCGAAAGCGUGGGUAGCAAACAGGAUUAGAUACCCUUGUAGUC
RNAcentral lists this ribosomal RNA (465 nucleotides) under uncultured bacterium. Its description in RNAcentral is "partial 16S ribosomal RNA". It matches the Rfam family "Bacterial small subunit ribosomal RNA", at positions 338 to 795 of the family's 1533-position model. The record is from RNAcentral.